GAUGAACGCUGGCGGCGUGCCUAAUACAUGCAAGUCGAGCGAACAGACGAGGAGCUUGCUCCUCUGACGUUAGCGGCGGACGGGUGAGUAACACGUGGAUAACCUACCUAUAAGACUGGGAUAACUUCGUGGAACCGGAGCUAAUACCGGAUAAUAUAUUGAACCGCAUGGUUCAAUAGUGAAAGACGGUUUUGCUGUCACUUAUAGAUGGAUCCGCGCCGCAUUAGCUAGUUGGUAAGGUAACGGCUUACCAAGGCAACGAUGCGUAGCCGACCUGAGAGGGUGAUCGGCCACACUGGAACUGAGACACGGUCCAGACUCCUACGGGAGGCAGCAGUAGGGAAUCUUCCGCAAUGGGCGAAAGCCUGACGGAGCAACGCCGCGUGAGUGAUGAAGGUCUUCGGGUCGUAAAACUCUGUUAUUAGGGAAGAACAAAUGUGUAAGUAACUAUGCACGUCUUGACGGUACCUAAUCAGAAAGCCACGGCUAACUACGUG
RNAcentral lists this ribosomal RNA (497 nucleotides) under uncultured bacterium. RNAcentral describes it as "partial 16S ribosomal RNA". It matches the Rfam family "Bacterial small subunit ribosomal RNA", at positions 28 to 507 of the family's 1533-position model. The record is from RNAcentral.